GGAAGUUGACAUGUCGUCACUUCAUUUUUUUGCGCCUGCGCAUAAAUCUGAGAAGCGUGAGUUUGUCAUAAGUGUUUAUCUAGACAUAGGAUAGGUUGUGUGAAAAUAUUACUGAUGUUUAACGUUAAAAAUGGACCAAAAGAUUAAUGCUAAACAACAUUUGACAUGUUUGAACGAACGUAAAUAGAUUAUUUACUAGGUUUUUUUAGCUUUUCGGCGUGAUUUUACACCCCCCCCACCACGUUUUGUGGGAGCAUAAUGAACGCUAACUACUUGGUGUUAUUUGGACAUAAAUUAUGAACUUUGUCAAAAGAAACCACAUUUGUUCCGGACCUGGGAUCCCUGGCAGUGCCUUCUGAUGGAGAUAAUCAAAGGUUCCUGAACGCACCCUGUCUGGUUGCCAGGCAACAAAGAUAGGCGGGAGAUCUAUUGAUUACCCGCACCUGCAUCUCAUCAACCUUCUGCACACCUGGUCCUGAUCUUCACCUCUUCUUAAACCCUGAGCUGACAUCCAUUCCCUGCCGGAUCAUUAGCAACGAACAUCAUUCUCCCGGAACAUUCAACUCCCUUGCCUGGCUGUCGGUGGAUACUGUGACUUCAUUGGAUCAACCCAUUUACUCUCAUCAACUCACCUCCGUCUCCUGGAUCACUCAAAUUACACAUCAAGACUACCAAUAAAUACUCACCUUCAUUUUACUCACCUUGUCCUGGUCUGCUUCUGGGUUCUGUCUUAGAGAAUCGUGACAUACUUAGAUGUUGACUUACAGUGAGGGAAAAAAGUAUUUGAUCCCCUGCCGAUUUUGUACAUAUGCCCACUGACAAAGAAAUGAUCAGUCUAU
This 839-nucleotide long non-coding RNA is filed under the name Salmo salar (Atlantic salmon). RNAcentral describes it as "lncRNA (ENSSSAG00000119855.1)". The record is from RNAcentral. Lineage: Eukaryota; Metazoa; Chordata; Actinopteri; Salmoniformes; Salmonidae.